RNAcentral lists this ribosomal RNA (252 nucleotides) under uncultured bacterium. Its description in RNAcentral is "partial 16S ribosomal RNA". It matches the Rfam family "Bacterial small subunit ribosomal RNA", at positions 524 to 776 of the family's 1533-position model. The record is from RNAcentral.
UACGGAGGGUGCAAGCGUUAUCCGGAUUUAUUGGGUUUAAAGGGUGCGUAGGCGGCCCGAUAAGCCAGGGGUAAAAUGCAGUGGCUCAACCAUUGUUCGCCCUUGGAACUGUCGGGCUCGGGUAGAAUCGAGGUGAGCGGAAUGGGUAGUGUAGCGGUGAAAUGCAUAGAUAUUACCCGGAACACCGAUAGCGAAAGCAGCUCACCAGGCUCUUACCGACGCUGAUGCACGAAAGCGCGGGUAGCGAACAGG